Molecule: long non-coding RNA, 322 nt
Filed under: Mustela putorius furo (domestic ferret)
Lineage: Eukaryota; Metazoa; Chordata; Mammalia; Carnivora; Mustelidae
Description: lncRNA (ENSMPUG00000024971.1)
Source: RNAcentral
CUGUAAAAUGUGAACAAUGAUGACAUCUACUCUUUAGAGUUAAAAGAAGAAAUAUGCUUAAGGAAUUUAGGAUAGCACCUGGAGCAUUAGGGCAAGAGAGUGUGCAAGCAGAGGGAGGAGCAGAGGGAGAAGGCAAGCAGACUUGGCACUCAGCAUGGAGCCUGAUGUAGGACUCGAUCCCCUGCCCCUGAGAUCAUGACCUGAGCGGAAGGCAAGAGUUGGAUGCUUUACCGACUGAGCCACCCAGGCGCCCUGGGUGUGUGCUAUUAAUCUAACACUAUUGUUGUUGACCUGAUCACAAGGAUGAGGUAAUGCUUGCCAG